GACGAACGCUGGCGGCGUGCUUAACACAUGCAAGUCGAACGGAAAGGCCCUGCUUUUGUGGGGUGCUCGAGUGGCGAACGGGUGAGUAACACGUGAGUAACCUGCCCUUGACUUUGGGAUAACUUCAGGAAACUGGGGCUAAUACCGGAUAGGAGCUCCUGCUGCAUGGUGGGGGUUGGAAAGUUUCGGCGGUUGGGGAUGGACUCGCGGCUUAUCAGCUUGUUGGUGGGGUAGUGGCUUACCAGGGCUUUGACGGGUAGCCGGCCUGAGAGGGUGACCGGCCACAUUGGGACUGGGAUACGGCCCAGACUCCUACGGGAGGCAGCAGUGGGGAAUAUUGCACAAUGGGCGGAAGCCUGAUGCAGCAACGCCGCGUGCGGGAUGACGGCCUUCGGGUUGUAAACCGCUUUCGCCUGUGACGAAGCGUGAGUGACGGUAAUGGGUAAAGAAGCACCGGCUAACUACGUG
This 468-nucleotide ribosomal RNA is filed under the name uncultured bacterium. RNAcentral's name for it is "partial 16S ribosomal RNA". It matches the Rfam family "Bacterial small subunit ribosomal RNA", at positions 28 to 507 of the family's 1533-position model. The record is from RNAcentral.